GACGAACGCUGGCGGCGUGCUUAACACAUGCAAGUCGAACGGAAAGGCCCUGCUUUUGUGGGGUGCUCGAGUGGCGAACGGGUGAGUAACACGUGAGUAACCUGCCCUUGACUUUGGGAUAACUUCAGGAAACUGGGGCUAAUACCGGAUAGGAGCUCCUGCUGCAUGGUGGGGGUUGGAAAGUUUCGGCGGUUGGGGAUGGACUCGCGGCUUAUCAGCUUGUUGGUGGGGUAGUGGCUUACCAAGGCUUUGACGGGUAGCCGGCCUGAGAGGGUGAGCGGCCACAUUGGGACUGAGAUACGGCCCAGCCUCCUACGGGAGGCAGCAGUGGGGAAUAUUGCACAAUGGGCGGAAGCCUGAUGCAGCAACGCCGCGUGCGGGAUGACGGCCUUCGGGUUGUAAACCGCUUUCGCCUGUGACGAAGCGUGAGUGACGGUAAUGGGUAAAGAAGCACCGGCUAACUACGUG
Molecule: ribosomal RNA, 468 nt
Filed under: uncultured bacterium
Lineage: Bacteria
Description: partial 16S ribosomal RNA
Rfam family: Bacterial small subunit ribosomal RNA
Source: RNAcentral